This 678-nucleotide long non-coding RNA is filed under the name Rattus norvegicus (Norway rat). Its description in RNAcentral is "long non-coding RNA NONRATT010102". Lineage: Eukaryota; Metazoa; Chordata; Mammalia; Rodentia; Muridae. The record is from RNAcentral.
CAGCAGCAAGCAUAACACCAUCAAAAAGCUUACUCUGCAGAGCGCCAAGUCCCGUGUGGCCUUCUUUGAAGAACUCUAGGUGACCCGACCACCUCCUGCCACAUCUGCUGCUCCUGACACCAACGGGGUGGGCCUGACCCCAAAGGAAUCAUCAGUAGAGGGCUGGCUUGUUUGGGAACUCUGAGUAGAAGGCCUGAUCCCCUUUGGGUUCAGUUGUUUUUGAACUCUGACCCUGCAGAGAUUUCUCAAGGUGUUCUAGUUCUCCUAGCCUGCAUAUCUAUGUCUCUCCUCCCUCCUCCCUCCCCACUCCCCCUCCCCUCCCUCCUUCUCCCCUCACUUUCCUCUCUCCUCUCAGAAAUAUUUGUUGUGUGUGGGCUGCCAUUCUUCCUGCACCCUAGGCACUGUGGUGUAAGUGUCACUGUGCGUGCUGCUGACUUUGGUUUGAGAAGCGGCUGUGAGUCCUGUGUGGAGGCUGAAAUCUACCAUGCUGGUGCUACCCACUCCCUGACUGGGGUUCUGGGAUAGGCCUCCCCUCCACAGUAAGGACCUGACUAGAAGCAUGGACUGGCUUAGCUCAGAACCAGCAAUGCUGGCUCCUUAGCCAGGCUCACCUGAGGCAGUGUUAUAGCUGUCUGACUGGCAGGAAACAGGCAGAACAGCUGUGGCUAGGAAGAGACU